This 74-nucleotide transfer RNA is filed under the name Deltaproteobacteria bacterium RBG_13_43_22. RNAcentral's name for it is "tRNA-Gln". It matches the Rfam family "tRNA". From Rfam's summary of the family: Transfer RNA (tRNA) molecules are approximately 80 nucleotides in length. Their secondary structure includes four short double-helical elements and three loops (D, anti-codon, and T loops). Lineage: Bacteria; Deltaproteobacteria. The record is from RNAcentral. RNAcentral also lists the same sequence under 4 other names.
UGGGGGAUCGUCUAACGGCAAGACUGUAGACUCUGGAUCUACCUAUCGGGGUUCGAAUCCCUGUCCCCCAGCCA